This 253-nucleotide ribosomal RNA is filed under the name uncultured bacterium. Its description in RNAcentral is "partial 16S ribosomal RNA". It matches the Rfam family "Bacterial small subunit ribosomal RNA", at positions 524 to 776 of the family's 1533-position model. The record is from RNAcentral.
UACGUAGGGUGCGAGCGUUAAUCGGAAUUACUGGGCGUAAAGCGUGCGCAGGCGGUUUUGUAAGCCAGAUGUGAAAUCCCCGGGCUUAACCUGGGAACUGCGCUUGUUACUGGCAGGCUUGAGUGUGGCAGAGGGGGGUGGAAUUCCACGUGUAGCAGUGAAAUGCGUAGAUAUUGGGAAGAACACCGAUGGCGAAGGCAGCCAUCUGGACCGGCACUGACGCUGAGGCGCGAAAGCGUGGGGAGCAAACAGG